CGGCGGACGGGUGAGUAACACGUGGAUAACUACCUAUAAGACUGGGAUAACUUCGGGAAACCGGAGCUAAUACCGGAUAAUAUAUUGAACCGCAUGGUUCAAUGGUGAAAGACGGUUUUGCUGUCACUUAUAGAUGGAUCCGCGCCGCAUUAGCUAGUUGGUAAGGUAACGGCUUACCAAGGCAACGAUGCGUAGCCGACCUGAGAGGGUGAUCGGCCACACUGGAACUGAGACACGGUCCAGACUCCUACGGGAGGCAGCAGGG
RNAcentral lists this ribosomal RNA (265 nucleotides) under uncultured Staphylococcus sp. Its description in RNAcentral is "partial 16S ribosomal RNA". It matches the Rfam family "Bacterial small subunit ribosomal RNA", at positions 96 to 354 of the family's 1533-position model. The record is from RNAcentral. Lineage: Bacteria; Bacillati; Bacillota; Bacilli; Caryophanales; Staphylococcaceae.